CUCAGAAUCAACGCUGGCGGCGUGCCUAACACAUGCAAGUCGAACGAGAAAGUGGGAGCAAUCCCUGAGUAAAGUGGCGCACGGGUGAGUAACACGUGACUAACCUACCCUGGAGUGGGGGAUAACUGAGGGAACCCUUAGCUAAUACCGCAUAACACCUACGGGUCAAAGGAGCAAUUCGCUUCAGGAGGGGGUCGCGGCCGAUUAGUUAGUUGGCGGGGUAAUGGCCCACCAAGACAGUGAUCGGUAUCCGGCCUGAGAGGGCGCACGGACACACUGGAACUGAAACACGGUCCAGACUCCUACGGGAGGCAGCAGUGGGGAAUUUUGCGCAAUGGGGGAAACCCUGACGCAGCAACGCCGCGUGGAGGAUGAAGUACUUCGGUACGUAAACUCCUUUCGAUCGGGACGAUAAUGACGGUACCGGAAGAAGAAGCCCCGGCUAACUUCGUGCCAGCAGCCGCGGUAAUACGGGGGGGGCAAGCGUUGUUCGGAAUUAUUGGGCGUAAAGAGUUCGUAGGCGGCAUGUCAAGUCUGGUGUGAAAGCCCUCGGCUCAACCGAGGAAUUGCGCCCAAAACUACCGGGCUUGAGGAAGAUAGAGGUAAGCGGAACUUAGGGUGGAGCGGUGAAAUGCGUUGAUAUCCUAAGGAACACCAGGAGCGAAAGCGGCUUACUGGGUCUUUUCUGACGCUGAGGCACGAAAGCUAGGGGAGCGAACGGGAUUAGAUACCCCGGUAGUCCUAGCCGUAAACGAUGAGCACUGGGUUGGAGGGUCUCCCAUAACCCUCUAGCCGUAGCGAAAGUGUUAAGUGCUCCGCCUGGGGAGUAUGGUCGCAAGGCUGAA
This 845-nucleotide ribosomal RNA is filed under the name uncultured bacterium. RNAcentral's name for it is "bacterial SSU rRNA". It matches the Rfam family "Bacterial small subunit ribosomal RNA", at positions 23 to 898 of the family's 1533-position model. The record is from RNAcentral.